UACAGAGGUCCCAAGCGUUGUUCGGAUUCACUGGGCGUAAAGGGUGCGUAGGUGGUGAGGUAAGUCGGAUGUGAAAGCUCCGAACUCAACUCGGAAAUGGCAUUGGAAACUACCUUGCUCGAGGGUUUGAGGGGGGACUGGAAUACUUGGUGUAGCAGUGAAAUGCGUAGAUAUCAAGUAGAACACCAGUGGCGAAGGCGAGUCCCUGGAAAACUCCUGACACUGAGGCACGAAAGCUAGGGGAGCAAACAGG
This 253-nucleotide ribosomal RNA is filed under the name uncultured bacterium. RNAcentral describes it as "partial 16S ribosomal RNA". It matches the Rfam family "Bacterial small subunit ribosomal RNA", at positions 524 to 776 of the family's 1533-position model. The record is from RNAcentral.